RNAcentral lists this transfer RNA (73 nucleotides) under Oceanobacillus piezotolerans. It matches the Rfam family "tRNA". Rfam says of the family: Transfer RNA (tRNA) molecules are approximately 80 nucleotides in length. The record is from Rfam by way of RNAcentral. Lineage: Bacteria; Bacillati; Bacillota; Bacilli; Caryophanales; Bacillaceae.
GAGCCAUUAGCUCAGGCGGUAGAGCAACUGACUUUUAAUCAGUGGGUCGAAGGUUCGAGUCCUUCAUGGCUCA